GUGAUCUCUUGCUCCUGGGUGGUAUGUGUUUUGUGAGCUCUGAACUUUAACAGUUCCCUUCUUUCUGUUCUUGCAGUCGUUGCCACUUACUCAGAGGCUCAGAGCGGUGAAUUCUUAUGAUAUCUUCUUUUCAUGGAGUGGCCUUGUUUGUCGAUUAUUCAGGUUUCAUUAGUUCAGCUUUUAUAUGUACUGGGAUUUUCAAUUCAUUUUUCUUCCCUAAUCAGCGGCUCCCUUUUCUAUUUGUCAAAGUUACUGUUGUAUGGAUCUCAACUAAGAUAAUAUUUUUCACUAGUGUAUGUUGUGUUCUGCUGUCAUGAAGUUUUUAAUCCAGAUGCAUAUGCUUUCAAUGAUCCAACUGAUGAGAUCCCUGAUGGUUAUGGACACCUGAUGAAGUUCCCAAACUCAAUUUUGGAUCUUUCCGUAAAGUACUCCUCCUUGGUGUUCUUGCUACUUCUCUGCGUCCUUUUUCUUUUGUUUAUCACAACCACUUGAUUUUGUUUGGUUGGUUGGAAGGAUGUAUGUAGACCACACGGUGACAGUGAUUACAUUUGGGAAUUUCAGAGUUUGAUAUUCUCUCAGGCUUCGAGAGAAGGGGGUGGUCCAAUCUUGUCUGGCAUCUCUGGUGAUUUCUAUGUGACAUGGUUUCUUGGCUUUGAACUUGACUGCUGCCUUCUUUAUGUAUGUGCUUGCAGCUGUUGGUCUUUAAGAGUGGUGACUUCUUCCUUCCAUGGAGCAGCCUUGUUUGUCCAUUAGCGUUGUGGUUUUUUUGUAGUUUGGUUUCUAUGAGUAUCUUCCCUAGUCUCUUUGUCGAAAUUGUUGUUAUAUGGAGUAUCAGCAGGCGUUCCUGAGGUUGGUGUUCAGUAUUCAUUCCUGUGCACGCUGUUUCUUGGUCUUUGGUCUUUUAUUGCAGUCUAAAUGCCGUCAGGCUUCAAGAAAAAAUGGGUUUUCAGUAUUUUCUCUGGAAUCUCUGGUGAUUUCCUGAGUGAUUCGGGUUUCGCCACUUGGUGUGCUUGCAGUUGUUGGACGGUCUUAAAGCAGUGAAUUUCUUCUUUUCAUGGAGAAGCCUUUGGUUUUUCCGGUUUGUGUUGAGGUUUCAGUAGUUCAGGAUUCUAUUUGUAUCAGAUUCUCAAUUCGGUUUUUUUCUCUAAUCAAAGUGAUUUUCUUCUCGCAAUAUUUUCUUUGAAGUGAUGCUCUUCUGGUAGUCAUUUUCUGAAGAAAAUUUAGCAUGCCCUUGGUGGUUUUGUUGCUUGGUCGUUUCCAUUCAAUUUUUGGUUCUUUUAUUAGUUGAUCUAUCUGCAGCCAUAAUCACUCCGUUGCAUAAUUAGAUUUAUGAAACGAAACAAAAUUUUGGGGAGAGGGUGCAACUAUCAUUUUGGGCGUUUAGUUUCUUAGGAGUUCUCUUUGAAUCUUUUUGUGUAAUCAAGUUUCAGUCAGUCCUGUUUCUUCCCGGUGGUCGGCCCCAUCUGCCUGAUUGUUAGAGACGUUAUCUUAAUCAGGUCUGCAUAAUGUGAUUUGAGUUCGUUCUGGUGAUUUUCGCAAAAAUGCUACUAGCCUUCUGUUGGAUUCGAUAUCUCUGCUCUGUUUUAUUUACAAUCAGUAGUCAUCCUGAAUAAGCAUCCCUGUCUGUGGGUGGAGGGGAGCAACUCUAGUUCUUUUUUUCUGCCAGUUGUCCGUCUGGUUCGUUGGGUUUGAUUUUCUCCUGUAUGUAGGUUUCUGCUCUGCAAUCCUUGGUUGUGGCUGUUGAGAGUUUGAGCCGAGGGAUUAUGAGGUUUUUGGCGUUACACAACUAGUCUAGUGUGUUCAUUUUCCUGAUGACCAGAGAUAUUUGAGGUUUUUUCCGUAUCCAUAGAAUAGGUCUGGAUUUUGUUGGUGUAGUUGUAUCGUUAUACCUCAAGAUAUUCGUGAUUAUCUUGUAUUUUUUGGAAUGGUGUUUUGAUGACUUCCACAUAGUUUCAGCUUUGAGCAUGGAGUGAUAGGUCUAGAUUUAGUUUAUUUGCUCUUUUUCUAUUUUAGUCUUGCUUCAGUAUCUUUUUCCGUGGCUUCUUUGUAUGCUUUUUUUGGAGGCUUCUGUUUAGCUGGAUAUUUUUCCAAGUGCAGGCUUAGUGUCAAAGCUAGAUGGGCGGGGGUGUCUGAGGUUUGGCUGCAUGCUAUUUGUUUAUUUGGUCUGCAGUAGACUUUCAUUUCCUAUUGCGGUAGUCGUAGUCCUUGUGUUGGGAAGUUGCGGAACGGGCUUUUUCUCCGUUGGCCAUGGGUACCAAUGCACUUGUUAUUUGAUGAUGGGAUGGAAGCACUUGCAGAGUCUUCGCAACCAGUGUUGAGUGAUUAUCCAAAUUGGGCUUCUCGCUUGCAUCUUUGAUAGAUGCGUAAGGUAGUCCUCUAUUUGGUGUUCUGGCUAUCUCAUCUCUCCUGCUUCUGUAUAUCACACCAGCUUGAUUUUGUUUGUUGAAUGGUAGUAGACCACAUGUGACCAUAAAUAAUAAAGAACUGGAUUCGGAAAGGGCAUAUCCAGUUGUGCGCUUGUGGGCCUUGGUGUUUUCUUUUUGGUACUCAUACUGUGAGGUGGAUCGUGUCAACUUCGAGGAGAAGGGGUCUUUUGGCAUCUUUUGUCUGGCAUUUCUAGUGAUUUCUUCGGUGGUAUGGGUUUUGCCAAUUGCGUACUUACCGGGCCCUCUUUCUGUGCUUGCAGUUGCUGGGUCAUUAGCAGUGAAGGAUAAUUUUGUUAUUGUUUUAAUGGGACACUGUGGUGUUGGUUUGUUCGAUUUUUCUUCCUUAUUGUGUUAAGUUGCUCUAAACUAUACCGCUGAGAUGUGAGAUAGUCAAUUCAAUUUCUUUCCGCGCCAUCUUCCUUCUUCAUGUAUAUCAUAAGUUUCUGCAUUGAUCAGUACCCAUCUAUCUCCUGACCUUCAACUGUUAAAUGCUGUUUGGGGCAUGUUGAAGGUAUGUGGAUUCACUGUUUGUCUGUGACGGAAGGUUCUGCAUUGAUCAGCUUCUGACUGGUGAGGACUAUAUCCCUAAGCUUGUCAAUUUAUAUUUAUCGCCGCUAUGCAGACUCGGGUCCCAGUCUGCCUGUAAGAGGAUUUUCAAUGGGUUCUAUUUAUCUGCUGUUGCUCAAUAUUAUGUGGGCUUUCUUUCUUUUCCUGACUGGUCACAGCUAAAAAAAGUUAGAAGUGAGCUAUGCGGGUAAUAAAGAGCAAUUGGGCCGAAUCUGAUAAAACUGGAAGGCCGACAGCACUGGGCCGUAAUUACUCUUUUGAAUUCGACUUAAUUUGUAUUAUUUUGGUUAAAACUCAGUUUUGUGGCACUGCAUAGGUACUAGGACGAGAUGCAACUCGCUCAUAUGUUUUUACCAAAAGGGGGGUGGAUUCAAUUUUCCAUCUGUACAAGCAAUGAAUGAAUGGUAUUACAUUAAGAUAAAUUCAUAAUCCCACCAAGCAUAGAAAAGGAACCAAAAUUUGUCAAUUCUCAUGGCAUAUCCGUCAAUUGCAUUAUGAGUAGACAUAGUACAUCAUGCAUGUUACUAAAGGUUUAAUAAUGUGUAAUAUUUCUGAUCAUUAGUCAUUUGUUGGUCCAAGAAGUUGCUGCCAGAACUAGUGGGCUAUGCAACAAAAUAUAUUGAUCCUUGCCCCAGGUGUUGACCAUCCGUCCUAUGUUAUGCAGGAUUUGUUACUGCAGCUGAUCAAGAAUUUCCACUAGUUGAACUACGUCAUAAGACUCCCUAAGAAUGAUACUAAUCAACGACUAUUACAACUUUCAACAUGUAUCUGUCUAGCAGAUUUAUCUUGCUAGAAGGAGCUUUUGGCUUUGCGUAAUAUCCCUACCUUUUUUGUAUGACAUGAACUUUGGCAAAUUCUUGUUUGACAAGGUUUUAUCUUGUGGAGAAAAGAUGAAAGUGGAGAAAGGCCAUUCAGUGAAUGAUGUGUUGUUUUCUGUUCAGAUGCCUUGCCACUUGACUUACAUGACGCUUUAGGAUGAUAUGGAAAUUGUUUUGUUGUUAAGAUCAGAUUAUGGGUGGUUUUUAAAUCUACCAGCAAGAGGAUAUCUAAUUUAAUGUUUUGUUUAUGCUGGUGAGAGUAAUCUGUGGAACGAAUAAGAAACGAAUUGCCUCGUGUUGUUUCUUCUUUGGCUGUUAUUGUCCUGCAUCGUCGUAGAAUUGAUAUGGCUUCUUAUAUAUACGCAAGCUUGCUUAUUGUCUUUCAGCCAUUCUAUACAUGGCUGGAUAGAAGGCAAAACCCUUUUCUCUUUGGUGUCAGUUACUAUUUCUUGUGGACUAUUCUACAGAUGCCUUUGUUUACUCUGGUGAUGGUAAUUAGCACUGUUAAUCUGGUAGUGGUACUUGACAAGCUAAUCUUUGAUGGGAUCUUCAGUUUUACUUUGGGUCCCUGUCUCUUUCAGUGUGUUUGGGUUUGAGUUUCCUCUCAAGAGGCAUGAUGAAACUUGGUUGGUGUCCCCUUGGAGAUGUUAUUUCAGUCCACAGUCUAUCUCCUUGUUGAGUGCUGUAGUUCGAGACUUCUUAACCUCUCAUAACCUGGAGACGUAAGUUUGAGUUUUGGUUAAUUGGUCUUUUGUUUUCAGCUCUUUCUUCUCUAAUUCUCACAAUCUAUGAUUCUUUGGUAUUUUGGUCGCUUGACCUAAGUAAAAAUGUGGUACCUUAAGUUGCCGAAAAGACUAAUUCUCGGUGUUGCAGAUAUUUUGAUGUUCUGCUUAAUUUUCACUUUUGUUGGUUUCUAGAGGCAAUCCAAGGACUUCCCUAUUUAUGUUAUGUCAACUUCUUUCUGAUUCUACACGGUUUAUUGUUGGUAAGGGUAAAGACCGUGCAGUUUGUUUGUUGGAUGUCAACAAGAUUAUUUUUGGACAGAGUAAACAUAAUCUGGUACCUACAGCAGAUCUUCUUUUCUUGCAUGUGCUCCCCUAGAGAAAAAUUCAGUACAAAUUUCUGGGUCUUGCCUUGUAGAUAUUGCUAUCUUUAUUCCAUGUUGCUAGCAUUCAUGGAUCAAAAUUUUGACCAUUAUGUGUUACUGGUUUUCUUGAUAUAUGAUUGCUCAUGAGCUUUUAAAUAGACUAUCAUUGGGUUGCUGGAGUAGUGGAAUUAAUGUGUUAUCUGCUAUGAGCAAGUAUUAGUUGCACUGAUAUAUUAUAUGUUAUCCACACAAUUGGUUAGGUGAAUUCAGGCACUAAACCUGAGAAGGGACGAGAUUAAGGGGCUUCUAAAAAACAGUCUGAUAUUGGAGCUGUUGCAGUGCUUUUGAUAAUGUUCGACUCAUGUUUUCUAAGCAUAUGUAGUAUUUGCUGAUCUGGAUCUCUUACCUGUAAAAUAGCACUAUGGAUGUGAGAAGAGCUGUACUUUUUUAUGAAGUCGAGGUAGGGUAGGUAUUGGCAUCUUGAGGCAGCCGGGAGGCUUUGGCUUCAGCUCAUCGUGGUAUUUCUUUUUCGUUUGAUAUGGCGACUGAAUUGGAUAUUUCUCAUUUUCCUAAGCUCUAGUUGUCCAAGUUUGUUAGUCAAGAGUUAUCAGCAGAGAGAUGUUGCUAUUGGAGUAACUGUCGCUCCAGAUUUUGUCCUUUUGUUUUUAAGUCCUUGUAGCUACUUUGAUAGCGCUAAGAUUUUAAGGAACUUUAUUUUUUGCCUAAAGUUCACAAAUUUAGUUCCAUACCAGUGGUUUUUGCUCCUCUCCAUAGGAGGUGAUUAACAUGAGUAGUUGGAGAAUGGGUAAAUGUUAAACAAAAAAAGUUCUGGUCCUGGACAUCUGAAUUUUUGUUUUGACGUUGACCUGUUCUAGUCAUUUUUGCAUGUUCCAAAAGUGUUUACUUAUCUGCUUGGAUAGCAUUACAAGUGCUUCUGGUUUGUUUUGACAUUGACCUUGUCUAGUCAUUUUUGCAUGUUCCAAAAGUGUUGACUCAUCUGCUUGGAUAGCAUUACAAGAGCUUCUGGUAUGUUUUGUGUGGAGAUGUGUUUAACUACACUUGAAUGCUCUAAGUACUAUCUAAUGCGCUUUCUUCUACGUUGUGUGGUAAUUUGUUGAUCUAUGUGCACCUUGCAGUCUAUGGAGGAUGAGUGUUCUGUUAGGGGCUGAGUGGUGGUGGUUCAAUUUAACUAUGAGCAAGACCUGAAUGCUUCUCAAAAUGAAGAGUCUCCUCUCGCAUGUAUGAAAUCCAGUUGGUGAGGCAGGACUGCGAUUAUAGGUGGUCUAAAGGUAAUAUAGCACCACUAUUUCUUGCUUCAUGGAAUUCGAUGAAGACACACCAGAACCCACGGAAAAAGCAUAUCCAGUAGUGCUCUUCAUAUCGUCAAUGUUUCCUGCCCAAUCACUAUCAACAAAUCCAAGCAAAGCACUUUUUUCAACCGGUCUAGACCAUAUUCCAAGUUGUACAGUACCUUUUAAGUACCUAAGCACUACUUUCCGCAAUUGCAAAAUGAGUGUCGCUGGGACUUCGCAUAAAUCUUGCAAGCAAACUAGCAGCAUACAUUAAAUCAGGUCUUGAAACCUUCAAGUACAAGAGACUUCCAAUCAAACCUCUGCAAAAUGAAGCAUCACACUUUUUGGCUCCAUUUUACUUUGAAAAAUUUGGUAUUCAAAAUCAGUGGUGUAGAAAUUGGUUGCACUUUUGCAUUUGAAUUUUUUCAGCAUCUCCAAAGCAUACUUUUGCUAAUUAAGAAAAAUUUCAGCCUCUGAUUGGUAUACUUCCAGCCCCAAAAUGUACUUCAUCUCUCCCAAAUUUGACAUUUCAAAUUGUUUUGUAUUUUUACUUUAAGAUUUUGCAAUUCUUACUCAUCACAGCCUGUAACAAGAAAAUCGUCGUUUAUAAAGCAUCAAUUAAUGAGCUAUCAUUAGUGAAAAUCUUGGUUGCUGAAAUGAGCAUUCGAUUCUAUUGUACCAAGCUCUUGAUGCCUGCUUCAAUCCAUUCAAUGCUUUUUGAAGCUUGUACAGCUUACCUUCACUUCCUUGAACCACAAAAUCCUCCGGGUCGAGCUACAUAAAUCUCCCCUUCUAGAAAAUCAUUUAAGAAAGUAGAUUUGACAUCUAAAUGCUAGAUUUUUCAUUUGAUUUGUGCUGUCCAUGCAAUCAAAAUUUUGAGUGUGUCCAUCCUUGCAACAGGUACAAAAGUAUCCGAGUAAUCAACUCUAGGCUGUUGAGAAUAACAUUUAAUGACCAGCUUUGGUUUGUGCUUGUUGAUAGAUCUGUCUGCAUUCAACUUCACUCUGUACACCCAUUCAACUCUAAUAACUUGUUUAUUAUCAUGUUUGUCAACGAGUUUUUAUGUCUUGUUCUUCUCAAUCAUGGAUAUUUCCUCCAUCGUCGGUUGCUUCUCAUUGGCAUCUUGAAAGUUUGAAGGUUCCGUGACAGCAAGACUACAUCUUAGAUAAAUUUCAGCCAACAUUUUAGUGUCUCUUAACAGAAAUUUUUUCAUUAUUUUCUGCUUCCGAGUCGUCAUUUGAAUCUUGAAAAACAGGUGCAACAGCCUUCUUUCUGAGUUGAGAUAUAUUCCGUUAAAAGUUGUUUUUAGGCCUGCACCGGAAUUUAGCUUUCAGUUUAAUUUGAAUAAAUAGUAUUUCUUAGUAUUUAGGAGUUUGUUAUUUUCAGUAGAUUUUUUGCUGAUCUUUAGGUAUUUGAAGUUAGUAUUCUAUUAUAAAUUGUAGUCUUAGAUUGCAGUGAAGUCAUAUCGAACUUUUGUUAGAAAAAUGCUUAAGAACUACGGUAAGUGUCUGUUUUGUUUUAUGUGUCAUGACGUGUGUUUUCUUCGAACGAGGUCUUCUAGUUCUUCUCGGUAGCCUGAUCGCUGUCUUAGAAUUUUUGAGAUCUUUCUCAAAAAUUCUGCCCCGGUUUCAGGACUUGCUUCGGGUGCCCCUUGUGUGUUUAGUUUCUAUGUUCCCUAAUUCUUAGGAGUUGAUUUUUUUAACUUUAGUUGAGAUCGUAAACUCUGUAAGUCUGUAACUUAUUUAUAGAAUUUCAAAAGAGUUUUGCUUUCGUCAAUAUUCUUUUGUUGGUUUAUCAAAGUUCUGUUCCACCGGUUUAAUAGUAAGUAAAAUCAAUUUUUUCUGUUCUUAAUUAUCUGGAAACUCAAAAUUGGUAUUGGAAUUGAAAUUAACAAGGCAAUUUUAUCAAGCAUGGAAGUAGAAUCGAGUUUUUCAAGAAUGGCACCUCCUGUUUUUUAAGGUGGUAGUUAUCAGAUUUGGGCGGUAAGGAUGGAAACAUAUCUAGAUGCCGUGGAUCUGUGGGAGGUAGUCGAAGAGGAUUAUGAAAUUCCUCCGCUGCCUAAUAAUCCACUAUGGCCCGAAUCAAGAACCAUAAAGACAAGAAAACCAGAAAAUCAAAGACAAAGGCCUGUCUAUUUUCAGCACAAUUUUCACUCGAAUUAUGUCUUUAAGAUCAGCCAAAUCCAUCUGGUAUUAUCUCAAGAAAGAAUUCAAAGGGGAUGAAAGGAUUAGAGGUACACAAGUGCUUAAUCUUGUAAAAGAUUUCGAGAUGCAGAAGAUGAAAGAAACCGAAACCAUCAAAGAUUACUCUGAAAAGCUGCUAAACAUAGCCAACAGGGUAAGAUUGCUUGGUUCUGCUUUCAAUGUCUCUCGUAUUGUUGAAAAAGUUCUGGUAACUGUGCCGGAAAGAUUUGAAGCAACCAUAACCACGUUGGAAAACACCAAGGAUCUGUCCAAGAUUACCUUGGCAGAGUUGUUGAAUGCUUUGCAGGCUCAAGACCAACAAAGGGUUAUGCGAGAACAAGGAAAUACCGAUAGAGCGCAUUGCUAGCCAAAAUCUAGAUGGUGGAAAAACAAAAAGAAAAGAACAAGAAGAAUCAACAAACAGGUGAUGUAGACAUUCCAGCAAGUACUGUUAAAGGAAAAGCAAAGCAGGAAACUCAAAGAGAAGUUAUCCUCCUUGUAAGCAUUGUGGAAAGAAAGACCAUCCACCAUACAAGUGUUGGAGAAGGCCUGAUGCUAGGUGCAGUAAAUGCAAUCAUCUUGGGUACGAAGCUGUCAUUUGCAAGGAAAAUGGUCAACAACUAGAAGCAUAGCUCAGGUUGUUGAUGGAGAGGAGGAAGAUUAAAUCAUUGUUGCUACAUGUUUUUCAAGUAGAUCAUCGAGCGAGUGUUGGAUGAUUGACAGUGGAUACACUAAUCACAUGACAAAUGACAUGGCUCUCUUCAAGGAAUUGAAGCGUACAACCAUUAUUAAAGUCGUAAUAGAUGGCGAACAUCUUCCUAUAAGAGGAAAAGGAAUCAUUGCUAUUCCAAGUCAUUCAGGUACAAUAACAAUUUCUGAUGUGCUUUAUGUACCUGACAGAGAUCAAAACUUGCUUAGUGUUGGUCAAUUGAUGAAAAAGGCUACAAAUUAUUUUUGAAGAUAAACAUCGCUUGAUCAGGGAUGUUUCAGAUCAAGAAAUGUUUUAAAGUAAAAAUGAGAAGCAAACGUUUCUCAUUAGAUCCAUUUGAGGAGGAGCAUGUCGUUUUUCAGCCAAAGAAAGUGUUGCAGAAAUAUGGCACAAGAGACUCGGACAUUAUCACUAUGAAGGGUUGCUAAAGAUAAAAAAAGCAAAAAUAGUUGAGGACUUACCUGUUUUGAAAGUGAAUUCUUCAAAUUGUCUUGCUUGUCAAUAUUUUAUGGGAAACAAAGCAGACUUCCAUUUCCAAA
This is a long non-coding RNA of Lycium ferocissimum, 9621 nucleotides long. RefSeq lists it as uncharacterized. The transcript has 3 exons. The record is from RefSeq and is a predicted model, not a curated record. Lineage: Eukaryota; Viridiplantae; Streptophyta; Magnoliopsida; Solanales; Solanaceae.